RNAcentral lists this ribosomal RNA (524 nucleotides) under uncultured bacterium. RNAcentral describes it as "partial 16S ribosomal RNA". It matches the Rfam family "Bacterial small subunit ribosomal RNA", at positions 28 to 523 of the family's 1533-position model. The record is from RNAcentral.
GACGAACGCUGGCGGCGUGCCUAAUACAUGCAAGUCGAACGAAGCUGUUUUAACUGGUGCUUGCACCGACUUAAACAACUGAGUGGCGAACGGGUGAGUAACACGUGGGUAACCUGCCCCAAAGCGGGGGAUAACAUUUGGAAACAGAUGCUAAUACCGCAUAACCACAGAAACCACAUGGUUUCUGUGUCAAAGAUGGUUUCGGCUAUCACUUUGGGAUGGACCCGCGGCGUAUUAGCUAGUUGGUAAGGUAAUGGCUUACUAAGGCAAUGAGACGUAGCCGAACUGAGAGGUUGAGCGGCCACAUUGGGACUGAGACACGGCCCAAACUCCUACGGGAGGCAGCAGUAGGGAAUCGUCCACAAUGGACGAAAGUCUGAUGGAGCAACGCCGCGUGAGUGAAGAAGGUUUUCGGAUCGUAAAACUCUGUUGUCAGAGAAGAACGUGUGCGAGAGUAACUGCUCGUGCAGUGACGGUAUCUGGCCAGAAAGCCACGGCUAACUACGUGCCAGCCGCCGCCGUAA